CACAGCUGAUUCUUGUUCAGUGACUUUUCUUAAUGCUCAAGUCGGGCUGAUAUCAGUGAAGAGUAAGAGGACGUGAGAUUAGGGUUUCAGGUGCACUAAAUUUAGUCCAGGAUAGCCAAUUUCCUGCAGGUUCCUUAGACCCCCCAUUCCCCUGCUAAGUAGCCAGGGUGAAGGGACAGGCAGCUGUUUGUACCUGCAGUGCUGUGGGAGUGGUGGCUUGCCAGGCUGCUAGCUACUGGUGGAAGGAAGAAAUGGGUUCUGGAUGCUCGAGACUGAUGCUGAAAGAUCAAGACAGAAGCCAGGCUGCAUCCCCACUGCCCUUUGUUGGUUGCCCUUGGGCAGCGCGUGUGCAGCGAGCUGCUGGAGCUUCUCAAAGGGGCUUCUCAAACCACCCUUGUGAAGGUAUAAGCAAUAACUCAGAGUAUAACAGGGGAGAUUCAAGACCAGAAAAUGCAAGUUAUCCAACUCUAUUUUCUGUGAGUGGAUUUGUUAACACCAGACCUUCAGGUAUUGUUUGGUGCUGCUUGACCUCUAUGGCUGUGACUCUGCUGAUCUGCCCCUCUGAGGAUCCCGGCUGAAAGAAGGUGUAAUGCUGGAGAGAGGGAAGGAGGGAUCACAUGGAGUGUGUGUCAGGAGAGUGGAAAAAAAGGAGUCUCUUUUCCAAACCAACAUCAUUAAAGAAAAAAAGCAAAACACAGAGUCUGCAAGGAAGCCCUUGAGGACAAAGAUGGGAACAGAGUUGGGCAAUGCAACAAAUAGACCAUUUUUCAUCACAAUCUCAUAACUGCUGUCUUGUUCCCAGUCUGCUCUUGUGACAGAGUUUGCAAUACCCACUGGGGACUCUUCUAGGACACAGUGCUGUGAGCCAGAACCUCAUUUUAGCAUUAUACCAGGGAAACUAUGCUAGGCAAACUGGAGCCACGGAGUCAGGUUUGGAUCCAAAGUACAUUUUUUUUUUUUUUUUUUUUCCUUUUGGCUCCAGAAGCCCAGAGCAAAGAAUGUAAAUUGGCUUUGCAGAAGUACGUCAAUUUUGGUGCCAAAGUUUCAUUUGAUAUCAUCUCUGUCUGGCACCUACACAGCAGGUGCUUCCCGAGAUGACCUGAGGCACGCAGGCACAACGCGAGCACCGGGUCGUGCGUCUUGCACGAGGCUACGUGCCACUGCCUCCUUGCAGCCAUAGAGGCUGUCUCCUGACACUGUGCCCCCAGCCACAGCUACAAAUGGAUUUUGCAGGAAGGCUGGCUGCUCCAGCCUCCUCCACCGCUACCCAAACCAAUGCGCUGCCUCACAAUCCAUCACGCGAGUGAUAAGCCUCCAGUGCUCGCUGUGAGUCAUCUCUACAAACUCUGUGCUGAGUCCUGCGGAGGCUGAGCAAGCUAUUUGCUUGAGUAAAAAGUGCUCAGAGGAGUUUAGGAUGCAGACCUGGCCCCUUGAGAGAAGCAGUCCCCUUUUCCUUUGGCUACCAGGUUUGUACCUCGGUCUCUGCUAGCUCUCGGCCACUGGAGGUGUUCAGAUGCCCAUCUGAAUAGCGAGCAGGAGUCAGGUGAAACAGGCAAACCUUCUUCAGUACUUGGGUUUGUGGCCAAGAAAAAGGACAGAUCUUGGAAUAAGAGCAGUUUGGAGUGUCAUCCAUGGCCCAGGGA
Molecule: long non-coding RNA, 1643 nt
Organism: Cygnus olor (mute swan)
Lineage: Eukaryota; Metazoa; Chordata; Aves; Anseriformes; Anatidae
Exons: 2
Source: RefSeq, a predicted model, not a curated record